Molecule: ribosomal RNA, 403 nt
Filed under: bacterium
Lineage: Bacteria
Description: partial 16S ribosomal RNA
Rfam family: Bacterial small subunit ribosomal RNA
Source: RNAcentral
UGGGGAAUAUUGCACAAUGGAGGGAACUCUGAUGCAGCGACGCCGCGUGAACGAAGAAGGCUUUCGAGUCGUAAAGUUCUUUUAUAUGGGAAGAUAAUGACGGUACCACAAGAAAAAGCCCCGGCUAACUACGUGCCAGCAGCCGCGGUAAUACGUAGGGGGCUAGCGUUGUCCGGAAUCACUGGGCGUAAAGGGUUCGCAGGCGGAAAUGCAAGUCAGGUGUAAAAGGCAGUAGCUUAACUACUGUAAGCAUUUGAAACUGCAUAUCUUGAGAAGAGUAGAGGUAAGUGGAAUUUUUAGUGUAGCGGUGAAAUGCGUAGAUAUUAAAAAGAAUACCGGUGGCGAAGGCGGCUUACUGGGCUCAUUCUGACGCUGAGGAACGAAAGCGUGGGUAGCAAACAGG